AGCCAGCCAUCAUGUCAUGAUGACAGUAAUGCAGCUUGUGGAGAGGAACCUGAGGACUCCUCCCAACAACUGGCACCAGACCCUCUCAGUUGCUGUACACAGACUGACCUAACUAAUGUCUACCUUAAUCAAGGAGUAUAUACAAAGAGCUCCAGCUUUACCAGAUGCUGCCUAGGAGAAAGCAGUUGUGAUAACUAUGAAAUGAUUGUGCAAAUUCACUGCAACGCAGAAUGAAGAUUUCAGAGAGAAGGAAUGGAAAUGACCAAGUCGCAAUAUCUCAUCAUCUCUACCCCAGACAAUGCUUCUGAGCUACUUUGUAAAAUCCAGUUCUCAAUGAUGGAUGGGAUAUGCGGUAUUAUAAAAAUGUGCUAAAAUAAUCAUUAAGAAGAAAUAAUUAUCAGGAAUGCCACACACAAAUAGGAAAUAACAUUGGUAGUGUUUAGUCUUGAAG
Molecule: long non-coding RNA, 451 nt
Organism: Balaenoptera ricei (Rice's whale)
Lineage: Eukaryota; Metazoa; Chordata; Mammalia; Artiodactyla; Balaenopteridae
Exons: 3
Source: RefSeq, a predicted model, not a curated record